Molecule: ribosomal RNA, 253 nt
Filed under: uncultured bacterium
Lineage: Bacteria
Description: partial 16S ribosomal RNA
Rfam family: Bacterial small subunit ribosomal RNA
Source: RNAcentral
UACGGAGGGUGCAAGCGUUAUCCGGAUUCACUGGGUUUAAAGGGUGCGUAGGUGGGCAGGUAAGUCAGUGGUGAAAUCUCCGGGCUUAACCCGGAAACUGCCAUUGAUACUAUCUGUCUUGAAUACCGUGGAGGUGAGCGGAAUAUGUCAUGUAGCGGUGAAAUGCUUAGAUAUGACCCGGAACACCGAUUGCGAAGGCAGCCCGCUACGCAACGAUUGACGCUGAGGCACGAAAGCGUGGGGAUCAAACAGG